CACAUCACCGCAAAAACUGAAAUUUCUUUCUUAAAUUACUGUGAAAACUGUACCGACUCCCACAUUUCUUGUUGUUGGGUUGCACAGAUUGCAGCAGCAGAAAAACCGUGUUUUUUGUUGGUGGAUUAAAUUUGCUCUAGGAAAUAUGGCGGGUUACAGUUACGCUCUAACAAUGUAAAGAAAGAGGAAGAAGAGGAUGUGCAGUCCUAGAAUCUCUCUCGACUCUGAGCAAUCUCUCUUUGAAGCCCUACCUCGUGAUAUUCUAGUUCAAAUAUCGUGUGGUGUGAACCAUAAAGAUUUGAAGCAGGUUUUUAUGUCUCAAAAACGAUUAGAGAAAUGAGAAUACAAAUGGGUUUAAGGAAAUUGAAGCUCCAAACACUGGUUGAGGAAAGUAAAUUGCAAGAAGUUGGAUGACAAUAUCUCGCAGACCUUGUAAUAAAGUAACCCAAAAAAACACCUAGUACAAUGGUUGGAUUAACACAUUUUCUUAAUGAAGAAAAACCAGUGUAAUGCAAUAACCCCAAAAAAUCAUAACAUUAUUCUUUAAAAAGAAGCAGUUGAAGCUAAAGCAAUGUGAAAAGGCAGCAAAAAUGCUGCUUUGCUUUAAGGGAGACUGCGAAUUUUCAUUGAAGAUAGUCUUAGUGUCAUUCUUGAUUGGUAUUCAUAUCAUCAUUUAUCACAUUGGUGGGUUAUUAAGUGUG
Molecule: long non-coding RNA, 701 nt
Organism: Glycine soja
Lineage: Eukaryota; Viridiplantae; Streptophyta; Magnoliopsida; Fabales; Fabaceae
Exons: 3
Source: RefSeq, a predicted model, not a curated record